UACGUAGGGUGCGAGCGUUGUCCGGAAUUAUUGGGCGUAAAGAGCUUGUAGGCGGUUUGUCGCGUCUGCUGUGAAAAUCCGGGGCUCAACCCCGGACUUGCAGUGGGUACGGGCAGACUAGAGUGUGGUAGGGGAGACUGGAAUUCCUGGUGUAGCGGUGAAAUGCGCAGAUAUCAGGAGGAACACCGAUGGCGAAGGCAGGUCUCUGGGCCACUACUGACGCUGAGAAGCGAAAGCAUGGGUAGCGAACAGGAUUAGAUACCCGU
RNAcentral lists this ribosomal RNA (266 nucleotides) under uncultured prokaryote. RNAcentral's name for it is "partial 16S ribosomal RNA". It matches the Rfam family "Bacterial small subunit ribosomal RNA", at positions 524 to 789 of the family's 1533-position model. The record is from RNAcentral.